GGACGAACGCUGGCGGCGUGCUUAACACAUGCAAGUCGAACGCUGAAGCUUGGUGCUUGCACUGGGUGGAUGAGUGGCGAACGGGUGAGUAAUACGUGAGUAACCUGCCCUUUACUCUGGGAUAAGCCUGGGAAACUGGGUCUAAUACUGGAUAUGACAUGCCACUGCAUGGUGGUGUGUGGAAAGGGUUUUACUGGUUUUGGAUGGGCUCACGGCCUAUCAGCUUGUUGGUGGGGUAAUGGCCUACCAAGGCGACGACGGGUAGCCGGCCUGAGAGGGUGACCGGCCACACUGGGACUGAGACACGGCCCAGACUCCUACGGGAGGCAGCAGUGGGGAAUAUUGCACAAUGGGCGGAAGCCUGAUGCAGCGACGCCGCGUGAGGGAUGACGGCCUUCGGGUUGUAAACCUCUUUCAGCACGGAAGAAGCGAGAGUGACGGUACGUGCAGAAGAAGCGCCGGCUAACUACGUG
This 473-nucleotide ribosomal RNA is filed under the name uncultured bacterium. RNAcentral describes it as "partial 16S ribosomal RNA". It matches the Rfam family "Bacterial small subunit ribosomal RNA", at positions 27 to 507 of the family's 1533-position model. The record is from RNAcentral.